AGUGAACGCUGGCGGCAGGCCUAACACAUGCAAGUCGAACGGCAGCACAGUAAGAGCUUGCUCUUACGGGUGGCGAGUGGCGGACGGGUGAGGAAUACAUCGGAAUCUACUUUUUCGUGGGGGAUAACGUAGGGAAACUUACGCUAAUACCGCAUAUGACCUACGGGUGAAAGCAGGGGAUCUUCGGACCUUGCGCGAUUGAAUGAGCCGAUGUCGGAUUAGCUAGUUGGCGGGGUAAAGGCCCACCAAGGCGACGAUCCGUAGCUGGUCUGAGAGGAUGAUCAGCCACACUGGAACUGAGACACGGUCCAGACUCCUACGGGAGGCAGCAGUGGGGAAUAUUGGACAAUGGGCGCAAGCCUGAUCCAGCCAUACCGCGUGGGUGAAGAAGGCCUUCGGGUUGUAAAGCCCUUUUGUUGGGAAAGAAAAGCAGCAGGAUAAUACCCGGCUGUUCUGACGGUACCCAAAGAAUAAGCACCGGCUAACUUCGUG
RNAcentral lists this ribosomal RNA (492 nucleotides) under uncultured bacterium. Its description in RNAcentral is "partial 16S ribosomal RNA". It matches the Rfam family "Bacterial small subunit ribosomal RNA", at positions 29 to 507 of the family's 1533-position model. The record is from RNAcentral.